CAGCAGUGAGGAAGGUGGGUAUGUUAAUAGCAUAUUCAUUUGACGUUAGCUGCAGAAGAAGCACCGGCUAACUCCGUGCCAGCAGCCGCGGUAAUACGGAGGGUGCGAGCGUUAAUCGGAAUUACUGGGCGUAAAGCGCAUGCAGGUGGUUUGUUAAGUCAGAUGUGAAAGCCCGGGGCUCAACCUCGGAAUUGCAUUUGAAACUGGACAAACUAGAGUACUGUAGGAGGGGGUAGAAUUUCAGGUGUAGCGGUAGAAAUGCGUAGAGAUCUAGAAGGAAUACCGGUGGCGAAGGCCGGCCCCCUGGACAGAUACUGACACUCAGANUGCGAAAAGCGUGGGGAGCAAACAGGAUUAGAUACCUUGGUAG
This 370-nucleotide ribosomal RNA is filed under the name uncultured bacterium. RNAcentral describes it as "bacterial SSU rRNA". It matches the Rfam family "Bacterial small subunit ribosomal RNA", at positions 434 to 793 of the family's 1533-position model. The record is from RNAcentral.